CAAGACUUCGAGCUUCUAGUCUGAGCUCUUCUUCAUCUGGUGUUGGCUUUCCAUCUUCAAACCAAUGGCAAGAGAAAUACAACAAUUUAGAAUCAGCUUUUAAGGCCUACAUGAUAAUGAAGGAAGGAAGGAUCCCUGAAGAAUUAGCUAGUUAUUUCACUCCUGAUCAAACACAUCUAAAUGAUGCUUCAAGUGUUCCUAAUACACCUUUGGAUGCAAGAGGAUCUUCUGGUGCUAGCAACCCUUAGUUUGCUUAUAAUGUAUUUUAGAUUUAAAGUUUAGUACAAUACUAAUAUUACUUUGUUAUGGAUUUUAUGUCAUACUUUGAUUUACAAUAGAAAUUUGAAUUAUAAAUCUUUGAACUAUAUGCUAUUA
This is a long non-coding RNA of Glycine soja, 375 nucleotides long. RefSeq lists it as uncharacterized. The record is from RefSeq and is a predicted model, not a curated record. The transcript has 2 exons. NCBI's taxonomy places the organism in Eukaryota, Viridiplantae, Streptophyta, Magnoliopsida, Fabales, Fabaceae.